CGUAUACUCGACCUGCCGUUGUGUAGUACGAAUGGGGCGACAGGACGUCGCCUCAAGCCGAGGGGGCACAGGACGUGCCCUCCGAGGCGGUUCGUACGGAACAGGCAGGUCGAGUAUACGC
This is a non-coding RNA of Dethiosulfovibrio salsuginis, 121 nucleotides long. The record is from Rfam. Lineage: Bacteria; Thermotogati; Synergistota; Synergistia; Synergistales; Dethiosulfovibrionaceae.